Aotus nancymaae (Ma's night monkey) is the source of this 104-nucleotide small nucleolar RNA. Lineage: Eukaryota; Metazoa; Chordata; Mammalia; Primates; Aotidae. The record is from Ensembl.
AUUCUUUUGUAGUUUAUAAGUGUGAUGACUGGGUGUUCACACCCAGGUGUGAGAUGUGCCACCCUCAAACCUUGUUACAAUGUUGGCACAUUACCCAUCAGACA